Molecule: non-coding RNA, 126 nt
Filed under: Allorhizobium ampelinum S4
Lineage: Bacteria; Pseudomonadati; Pseudomonadota; Alphaproteobacteria; Hyphomicrobiales; Rhizobiaceae
Description: Agrobacterium vitis S4 Rhizobiales sRNA Atu_C9
Rfam family: Rhizobiales sRNA Atu_C9
Source: Rfam by way of RNAcentral
UGUUAACGCAAGGGAGACCGAGAUGGGACUGACACGUUCGUUCAACAUCCUGGCAGUCGGAGUAGCGUUUCUUUUUGUCGCAGCGAUGCUUUUCAUCUGAGGACGACAACAACUCCAACACCGUAU